GGAGGGGUGUCCGAGCGGUCUAAGGAGCACGAUUGGAAAUCGUGUAUGUGCUGAAAGGUGCAUCGAGGGUUCAAAUCCCUCUCCCUCCG
RNAcentral lists this transfer RNA (89 nucleotides) under Actinomycetota bacterium. RNAcentral describes it as "Actinobacteria bacterium tRNA-Ser". It matches the Rfam family "tRNA". Rfam says of the family: Transfer RNA (tRNA) molecules are approximately 80 nucleotides in length. The record is from RNAcentral. Lineage: Bacteria; Bacillati; Actinomycetota.